UACGAAGGGGGCUAGCGUUGUUCGGAAUCACUGGGCGUAAAGGGCGCGUAGGCGGCCGAUCAAGUCGGGGGUGAAAGCCUGUGGCUCAACCACAGAAUUGCCUUCGAUACUGUUUGGCUUGAGACCGGAAGAGGUUAGUGGAACUGCGAGUGUAGAGGUGAAAUUCGUAGAUAUUCGCAAGAACACCAGUGGCGAAGGCGGCUUUCUGGCCCGUUCUUGACGCUGAGGCGCGAAAGCUAGGGUAGCAAACGGG
RNAcentral lists this ribosomal RNA (253 nucleotides) under uncultured bacterium. RNAcentral's name for it is "partial 16S ribosomal RNA". It matches the Rfam family "Bacterial small subunit ribosomal RNA", at positions 524 to 776 of the family's 1533-position model. The record is from RNAcentral.